UACGUAGGGACCGAGCGUUGUCCGGAUUCAUUGGGCGUAAAGAGCUCGUAGGCGGCUGUUCAAGUCGAACGUGAAAACUCGGAGCUCAACUCCGAGCCUGCGUUCGAUACUGGACGGCUAGAGUCUGGUAGGGGGAUCUGGAAUUCCUGGUGUAGCGGUGGAAUGCGCAGAUAUCAGGAGGAACACCGGUGGCGAAGGCGGGAUCCUGGGCCAGUACUGACGCUGAGGCACGAAGGCCAGGGGAGCGAACAGG
Molecule: ribosomal RNA, 253 nt
Filed under: uncultured bacterium
Lineage: Bacteria
Description: partial 16S ribosomal RNA
Rfam family: Bacterial small subunit ribosomal RNA
Source: RNAcentral